UACUUAAAAGUGUAAAGAGCACGAAGAUUUUUGAUGUCUUAAGGAAUAGUUAAAAUCUAUUAUAAGUAA
This 69-nucleotide transfer RNA is filed under the name Vietnamella dabieshanensis. RNAcentral's name for it is "tRNA-Gln". RNAcentral also lists the same sequence under 1 other name. The record is from RNAcentral. Lineage: Eukaryota; Metazoa; Arthropoda; Insecta; Ephemeroptera; Ephemerellidae.